UACGUAGGUGGCAAGCGUUGUCCGGAUUUAUUGGGUUUAAAGGGUGCGUAGGCGGCCCUGUAAGUCAGUGGUGAAAUACUCCAGCUUAACUGGAGGGGUGCCAUUGAUACUGCAGGGCUUGAGUACAGAUGAAGUAGGCGGAAUUGACGGUGUAGCGGUGAAAUGCAUAGAUAUCGGAAGGAACACCCGUAGCGAAGGCGGCUUCCUGGAUUCAGACUGACGCUGAGGCGCGAAAGCGUGGGUAGCGAACAGG
Molecule: ribosomal RNA, 253 nt
Filed under: uncultured bacterium
Lineage: Bacteria
Description: partial 16S ribosomal RNA
Rfam family: Bacterial small subunit ribosomal RNA
Source: RNAcentral